Molecule: ribosomal RNA, 484 nt
Filed under: uncultured bacterium
Lineage: Bacteria
Description: bacterial SSU rRNA
Rfam family: Bacterial small subunit ribosomal RNA
Source: RNAcentral
GAUCAUGGCUCAGGACGAACGCUGGCGGCGUGCUUCAUACAUGCAAGUCGAACGAGAAGCUGACUUCGGUCAGUGGAAAGUGGCGGACGGGUGAGUAACACGUAGGAAAUCUGCCCUUUGGAGGGGGACAACAGUUGGAAACGACUGCUAAUACCCCAUAUGAGCUAAGCUGAAAUGCUUAUCUUGAAAAACUCCGGUGCCAAAGGAUGAGCCUGCGCCUGAUUAGCUAGUUGGUGGUGUAAUGGACUACCAAGGCGACGAUCAGUAGCUGGUUUGAGAGGAUGAUCAGCCACAAUGGGACUGAGACACGGCCCAUACUCCUACGGGAGGCAGCAGUAGGGAAUUUUGCGCAAUGGGGGAAACCCUAGACGCAGCAACGCCGCGUGAUUGAUGAAGCCCUUCGGGGUGUAAAGAUCUGUCAGUAGGGACGAAUUUUGACGGUACCUACAGAGGAAGCACCGGCUAACUCCGUGCCAGCCGCCGC